AGAACUUAGCAGAGAUGCUUUGGUGCCUUCGGGAACUCUGAGACAGGUGCUGCAUGGCUGUCGUCAGCUCGUGUUGUGAAAUGUUGGGUUAAGUCCCGCAACGAGCGCAACCCUUAUCCUUUGUUGCCAGCGGUCCGGCCGGGAACUCAAAGGAGACUGCCAGUGAUAAACUGGGAGGAAGGGUGGGGAUGACGUCAAGUCAUCAUGGCCCUUACGAGUAGGGCUACACACGUGCUACAAUGGCGCAUACAAAGAGAAGCGACCUCGCGAGAGCAAGCGGACCUCAUAAAGUGCGUCGUAGUCCGGAUUGGAGUCUGCAACUCGACUCCAUGAAGUCGGAAUCGCUAGUAAUCGUAGAUCAGAAUGCUACGGUGAAUACGUUCCCGGGCCUUGUACACACCGCCCGUCACACCAUGGGAGUGGGUUGCAAAAGAAGUAAGUAGCUUAACCUUCGGGAGGGCGCUUACCACUUUGUGAUUCAUGACUGGGGUGAAGUCGUAACAAGGUAAGCGUAGCGAG
Molecule: ribosomal RNA, 519 nt
Filed under: uncultured bacterium
Lineage: Bacteria
Description: bacterial SSU rRNA
Rfam family: Bacterial small subunit ribosomal RNA
Source: RNAcentral